AUGGCAAAAAAGGACAGGACUUUUACAAAGUUGCUCACGUUCCUCUCUUUUCUAUUUUCAAUGGGACUCCCUGGCAAUAUGUAGAAUUAGAAUAAGGAGCUGAUAGAAUCCCAGAACCUGUUAAUUUCCUAUUUUUCGUUACUCAUAAUUGAGUUUUCUUCUUCAAUGUGGUUUUUUAAAACAUAAAUACAAUAUUUGACCGUAAUAUUGUAAAUUUGAAACCCGGGCUACCAAAGAUGUAAAAAUAGAUAAAAUUGUGCUUGAGAGACCAAAUGAACCAAUUUAUUUUUUAAAUUCCGCUUAUAUGAUUUGUUCUUCGACUAGCUUAGAGCGACUUAUCGUAGGACUAUCAAUGUACUGAAAAGGAUUAUAGUUAUCCCUUAUCUGUAAUUCAAGGGAUGCAUAUAUAGAUAAAUUACUGUACCUCAAACUCUACUCUGUUUUUAUGGUAGUUGACAUUUAUUUGGGUGAAAAAUGCAGAUAAUUUAAACAAUUUAUUUGUAAUCCUUCUAUAUGAACUACACAAACGAAAUGUAUUUUCCUGAGAUGUUUAAGCUUGUCACGCAUCCCUGAACUUAUUAUACUCGGAUCUCACACAAGUUUAAGAUGAUAAUAACAGAACUACAGAGCAACCAACUCCAACUUUGAGAGCAACUCCAAUGCAAUGCUAUACUUGGUUCUAUUGCUAUAUUAUAGCAUCAAAAGUAAAAAAACUCAACUCCAAAGGGGUGCUAUAUUUGGAUGCAUCCAUGCAUAGAUGCAUCCUUGGUUCUAUAUUUGAAACCACGGAUGGAUCCAUCAAUGUUGCCACAUCAUCAAGAGCUAGAAAUUGGAAACUAGUUAAUGAGUUAAUGAGUUAGGUAAAAGUUAAUGAGUUUGUUCUAUAUACAAGUUAGGUAAAAAUUAAUGAGUUGGUUAAAUUUGAAACUAGUUAUAGAACUUGGCAUUGGAGUGCAAGUUUUAUUUUAGCACCAAAAAACACUUUUUGGUGCUAUAUUAUAGCAAUAGCAAUAGAUAUAUAGCAUCUAGCAUUGGACUUGCUCUGACAAUUUAGAAUUCAGAGUAUAGUUGAAACGAAAACUUAAAGUACAACCAGCAACUAAACUACCUUGCAUAUGAGGAUUGCAGGUACAAAACUCCCGAAACGAAACUCCUGAAUUCAUCCCGAACGUUACUCGCUAUGUGUCUAACAAGAUAAGCCCAUCAAUCAAUAAGUUUCAAAGCAUCCAACUAUUGCGAGGAUAGAAAAUUACCGAACCUAUUAAUUCUAAGCGGUUCAGAACCUUUGAUUGAAGCACUGGUCUCUGUGAAUUUUAAAAAAAAAAUCAGCCCCACCACUGGAACCGGAAUAUGUUUGUACUCUUUCUUCAUGUAGUCAUACAAGAAGAGUUCAUCAGGACACAAAAUCUCUUUCACUCGAGAAAAAAGUCCACCACCCAAAUUAGAAUAUACCCAGAUUAUUUCACCUAGAGCAAUAUUUAACUUCUUACUCCAAGAAAUGUUUCCAUCAAUAUGAUUUAUCGUCCAUAGACAUAUUUCUGAUCUUUCCCCAAUGGAUUCGAAGAUGACCCCUGCAGAAUCUUCAAAAUACAAAAUCUAGGAACUUCCUUGUACUGCUUGGUUGUUGGGUACAUCACCAGUAAUAAUGUUUUCGGGUAGAAGCUGGACAUCCAGGUAAAAGAGCGAGUAUUUUUUUCAGGAUUAUGUGAAAAGUACGAAGUAUAAGAGCAAGCAUCUCCUUGUACAUAUUUAUUAGCUAUAAUAUGAUAUACAGAUAAUCAUCUAAAAUUAUAACUAAGCAUCUCGAAGGGUAGUAUAUGCAUAUUUAUUAGUUAUAAUAUGAUAUAUGGAUAAUCAUCUAAAAUUAUAGCUAAGAGGUCCU
This 1882-nucleotide long non-coding RNA is filed under the name Daucus carota (carrot). RNAcentral's name for it is "long non-coding RNA (DCAR_LNC002522)". Lineage: Eukaryota; Viridiplantae; Streptophyta; Magnoliopsida; Apiales; Apiaceae. The record is from RNAcentral.